Non-coding RNA from Mycena rebaudengoi, 93 nucleotides. The record is from the annotation of a GenBank genome assembly. NCBI's taxonomy places the organism in Eukaryota, Fungi, Basidiomycota, Agaricomycetes, Agaricales, Mycenaceae.
GGCCUGGUGGUGUAGUGGUAACAUCUCCCGAUCCAGUAACCCUGUUGAGAUACUCGGGGAGGGAAGUUCCUUGUUCAACUCAAGGUCAGGCCU